CCAGUUGGCGAAGGCGACUCUCUGGUCUGUAACUGACGCUCAGGAGCGAAAGCGUGGGGAGCGAACAGGAUUAGAUACCCUGGUAGUCCACGCCGUAAACGAUGACUGCUUAGUGUUAGUGGGUUUCCGCCCCUUAUUGCUGCACCUAACCCAUUAAUCACUCCCCCUGGGAAUUACGGUCCCAAGACUGAAACUCAAUGGAUUUGACGGGGGCCCGCACAACCGUUGAACCAUGUGUUUUAAUUCAUACCAACCCAAAAAACCUUACCACGUCUUGACUUCCUCUGACUUCCCUAAAAAUCUUUCUUUCCCUUCGGAAACCUAAUGACAGGUCUUGCAUGGUUGUCUUCACCUCUUGUCUUGAGAUGUUGGGUUAAUUCCCGCACCAACCGCAACCCUAGAUCUUAUUUGCCAGCAUUCAGUUGGGCACUCUAAGGUGACUGCCGGUGACAAAC
RNAcentral lists this ribosomal RNA (455 nucleotides) under Bacillus pumilus. RNAcentral describes it as "bacterial SSU rRNA". It matches the Rfam family "Bacterial small subunit ribosomal RNA", at positions 708 to 1163 of the family's 1533-position model. The record is from RNAcentral. Lineage: Bacteria; Bacillati; Bacillota; Bacilli; Caryophanales; Bacillaceae.